CAUUGCGAAAUGGAAUCUGAAGGAAGUCCGAGGCAAAUCUCCGGUCCGACGUACAGAAAUCACAUGAGGCGACGUUUGAGGGUAAGGCUGCGAAAGAAGCUGAAGCCCAAUAGUUACUGCAAGAAUCAAACGGUGUAUAUGUGGCGGAUAGAUGGAGAGGAAGAG
RNAcentral lists this non-coding RNA (165 nucleotides) under uncultured Enterococcus sp. Lineage: Bacteria; Bacillati; Bacillota; Bacilli; Lactobacillales; Enterococcaceae. The record is from RNAcentral.